UCGGGAAUUUUGGGCAAUGGGCGAAAGCCUGACCCAGCAGCGCCGCGUGAGGGAUGAAGUAUUUCGGUAUGUAAACCUCGAAAGAAUGGGAAGAAUAAAUGACGGUACCAUUUAUAAGCUCCGGCUAACUACGUGCCAGCAGCCGCGGUAAUACGUAGGGAGCAAGCGUUGUUCGGAUUUACUGGGCGUAAAGGGCGCGUAGGCGGCGCGGUAAGUCACUUGUGAAAUCUCUGAGCUUAACUCAGAACGGCCAAGUGAUACUGCUGGGCUAGAGUGCGGAAGAGGCAACCGGAAUUCUUGGUGUAGCGGUGAAAUGCGUAGAUAUCAAGAGGAACACCUGAGGCGAAGGCGGGUUGCGGGGCCGACACUGACGCUGAUGCGCG
This 383-nucleotide ribosomal RNA is filed under the name uncultured bacterium. RNAcentral's name for it is "bacterial SSU rRNA". It matches the Rfam family "Bacterial small subunit ribosomal RNA", at positions 355 to 755 of the family's 1533-position model. The record is from RNAcentral.